UAAUUGUUAUAAUUGUGGUCUAGUUUUUUGUCAUUCAUGCAGCAGCAAAAAGUCACUUAAGGCUUCCAUGGCACCAAAUCCCAAUAAACCUUAUCGUGUCUGUGAUAAUUGUUGUAAUAAAUUGAAAAAGGUUAUUGAAACUGAUGCUUCAUCUGAGGCUUCCAUGAGUCGAAGAGGAAGCCUGAACCAGGGGUUAACUGAUGACAUAGAUAAAACUACUAAGCUGGAUAUAAGGUCUCGACCUCAUCUAACUAGAUUUUCUUCGAUGGAAUCCUUCAAACAAGUUGAAACCCGCUCUUCCAAACAGAAGAAAAAGUUUGAAUUCAACAGCAGUCGUGUGUCACCUAUUCCUAGUAGUAACUCACAAUUGGGAGCUCUGAAUAGUUCCAAAUCUUCCAAUCAAGUGUUUGCCUCAUCCAAAAAGUUCUUCUCUGCUUCAGUUCCUGGUUCAAGGAUUGUUUCUCGAGCAACAUCACCAACAUCUAGACGGGCCAGUCCACCUCGUUCUACUACACCAACUCCAACAUUGGGUGGACUUACAUCUCCAAGGAUUGUAGUGGAUGAUGCUAAAAGGACAAAUGGAAGUCUUAGUCAAGAGGUUGCUAAAUUAAGAGCACAGGUGGAAACUCUUACACGCAAGGCUCAACUUCAAGAGGUAGAACUGGAAAGAACUAGUAAGCAACUGAAGGAG
Molecule: unclassified non-coding RNA, 691 nt
Filed under: Hevea brasiliensis (rubber tree)
Lineage: Eukaryota; Viridiplantae; Streptophyta; Magnoliopsida; Malpighiales; Euphorbiaceae
Source: RNAcentral